UGUGUACUCCCUCCGUUCCAAAAUACUUGUCUUCCAUUUGUCCCAAAAUGGAUGUACCUAUAUACUAAAACAUGUCUAGAUACAUAUAUAUUUUGACAAAUAGAAGGCAUGUAUUUGCAACGGAGGGAGUAGAAU
Triticum aestivum (bread wheat) is the source of this 135-nucleotide non-coding RNA. NCBI's taxonomy places the organism in Eukaryota, Viridiplantae, Streptophyta, Magnoliopsida, Poales, Poaceae. The record is from Rfam.